Molecule: ribosomal RNA, 200 nt
Filed under: uncultured bacterium
Lineage: Bacteria
Description: partial 16S ribosomal RNA
Rfam family: Bacterial small subunit ribosomal RNA
Source: RNAcentral
AGAGUUUGAUCCUGGCUCAGAUUGAACGCUAGCGGCAUGCUUAACACAUGCAAGUCGAACGGUAACAGGCCUAGCUUGCUAGGCGCUGACGAGUGGCGAACGGGUGAGUAACGCGUAGGAAUCUACCUCGUAGAAGGGGACAACCCGAGGAAACUCGGGCUAAUACCAUAUAAUCUCUACGGAGAAAAGAGGGCCUCUAC